CCUACGGGUGGCAGCAGUGAGGAAUAUUGGUCAAUGGGAGAGAUCCUGAACCAGCCAAGCCGCGUGAGGGAAGACGGCCCUAUGGGUUGUAAACCUCUUUUGUCGGAGAACAAAACCCGGGACGUGUGCCUGACUGCGUGUAUCCGAAGAAAAAGCAUCGGCUAACUCCGUGCCAGCAGCCGCGGUAAUACGGAGGAUGCGAGCGUUAUCCGGAUUUAUUGGGUGUAAAGGGCGUGUAGCCGGGUUGACAAGUCAGAUGUGAAAUCCUGCGGCUUAACCGCAGAACUGCAUUUGAAACUGUUGAUCUUGAGUACUGGAGAGGCAGACGGAAGUCCCAGUGUAGCGGUGAAAUGCGUAGAUAUUAGGAGGAACACCAGUGGCGAAGGCGGUAUGCUGGACAGCAACUGACGGUGAGGCGCGAAAGCGUGGGGAGCGAACAGGAUUAGAUACCCCAGUAGUC
Molecule: ribosomal RNA, 460 nt
Filed under: uncultured bacterium
Lineage: Bacteria
Description: partial 16S ribosomal RNA
Rfam family: Bacterial small subunit ribosomal RNA
Source: RNAcentral